RNAcentral lists this ribosomal RNA (375 nucleotides) under uncultured organism. RNAcentral describes it as "bacterial SSU rRNA". It matches the Rfam family "Archaeal small subunit ribosomal RNA", at positions 476 to 851 of the family's 1478-position model. The record is from RNAcentral.
CCAGCACCCCGAGUGGUCGGGACGAUUAUUGGGCCUAAAGCAUCCGUAGCCGGUUCUACAAGUCUUCCGUUAAAUCCAUCUGCUUAACAGAUGGGCUGCGGAGGAUACUAUGGAGCUAGGAGGCGGGAGAGGCAAGCGGUACUUAGUGGGUAGGGGUAAAAUCCGUUGAUCCACUGAAGACCACCAGUGGCGAAGGCGGCUUGCCAGAACGCGCUCGACGGUGAGGGAUGAAAGCUGGGGGAGCAAACCGGAUUAGAUACCCGGGUAGUCCCAGCUGUAAACGAUGCAGACUCGGUGAUGAAUAGGCUUCGUGCCUUUUCAGUGCCGCAGGGAAGCCGUUAAGUCUGCCGCCUGGGGAGUACGGUCGCAAGACUG